CCGCCGGCGACCGGCGCACGGGUGAGUAACACGUAUGCAACCUGGCCGUGACAGAUGGAUAACCGGGAGAAAUCCCGCCUAAUACAACAUAAUGCCCGGGAGGGGACAUCCCCUGCCGGUCAAAGGGGGCGACCCCGGUCACGGAUGGGCAUGCGGCGCAUUAGGUAGUUGGUGGGGCAACGGCCCACCAAGCCGACGAUGCGUAGGGGUUCUGAGAGGAAGGUCCCCCACAUUGGAACUGAGACACGGUCCAAACUCCUACGGGAGGCAGCAG
Molecule: ribosomal RNA, 274 nt
Filed under: uncultured bacterium
Lineage: Bacteria
Description: partial 16S ribosomal RNA
Rfam family: Bacterial small subunit ribosomal RNA
Source: RNAcentral